This 116-nucleotide ribosomal RNA is filed under the name Bacillus sp. PK3_68. The record is from RNAcentral. Lineage: Bacteria; Bacillati; Bacillota; Bacilli; Caryophanales; Bacillaceae. RNAcentral also lists the same sequence under 2 other names.
UCUGGUGGCGAUAGCGAAGAGGUCACACCCGUUCCCAUCCCGAACACGGAAGUUAAGCUCUUCAGCGCCGAUGGUAGUUGGGGGAUUCCCCCUGUGAGAGUAGGACGCUGCCAGGC